CUUCCGGUUGAUCCUGCCGGACCUGACUGCUAUCGGAUUGAUACUAAGCCAUGCGAGUCUUUGUAGUAAUACAAGGCAGACGGCUCAGUAACACGUAGUCAACCUACCCUAUGGACGAGAAUAAUCUCGGGAAACUGAGCAUAAUUCUCGAUAGAUCAUAAUGCCUGGAAUGGUUUAUGGUUAAAAUGAUUCGUCGCCAUAGGAUGGGACUGCGGCCUAUCAGCUUGUUGGUGAGGUAAUGGCCCACCAAGGCGAUUACAGGUACGGGCUCUGAGAGGAGAAGCCCGGAGAUGGGUACUGAGACACGGACCCAGGCCCUAUGGGGCGCAGCAGGCGAGAAAACUUUGCAAUGUGCGAAAGCACGACAAGGUUAAUCCGAGUGAUUUCUGCUAAAGAAAUCUUUUGCCAGUCAUAAAACCACUGGUGAAUAAGGGGUGGGCAAGUUCUGGUGUCAGCCGCCGCGGUAAAACCAGCACCUCAAGUGGUCAGGAUGAUUAUUGGGCCCAAAGCAUCCGUAGCCGGCUUUGUUAGUUUUCGGUUAAAUCCAUGUGCUCAACGCAUGGGCUGCCGAAAAUACUGCAUAGCUAGGGAGUGGGAGAGGUAGACGGUACUCAGUAGGAAGGGGUAAAAUCCUUUGAUCUAUUGAUGACCACCUGUGGCGAAGGCGGUCUACCAGAACACGUUCGACGGUGAGGGAUGAAAGCUGGGGGAGCAAACCGGAUUAGAUACCCGGGUAGUCCCAGCUGUAAACGAUGCAGACUCGAUGAUGCAUUGGCAUAAUAGCCAAUGCAGUGUCGCAGGGAAGCCGUUAAGUCUGCCGCCUGGGAAGUACGUACGCAAGUAUGAAACUU
Molecule: ribosomal RNA, 851 nt
Filed under: uncultured archaeon
Lineage: Archaea
Description: bacterial SSU rRNA
Rfam family: Archaeal small subunit ribosomal RNA
Source: RNAcentral